AUAAUGAGACUUCUGUCAAUUCGAAAUUGAGCGUUGAAAGCGUCGCACGUCAGAUGGCAGUCCGAGCGUAUUGCUGGGAAGGUGGAAUCCCUAUGG
This 96-nucleotide non-coding RNA is filed under the name unclassified sequences. The record is from Rfam.